Molecule: unclassified non-coding RNA, 344 nt
Filed under: Hevea brasiliensis (rubber tree)
Lineage: Eukaryota; Viridiplantae; Streptophyta; Magnoliopsida; Malpighiales; Euphorbiaceae
Source: RNAcentral
AAUAAAUUAAAAAUAAAAGUGUACUUAAAUAUAUACAACUCAAAUUAAAAAAAUUAGAGUAUUCUAAGGAAAUUUAACCUAUGGGUUUCUUGUAUAUAUUUAUGCGAAUGAGAACUACAAUGAGCAAAUAUAGCACCACUUUAAAAAUCUUUGUAAGUUUAGGUCUCCAACAAUCUUUAAAAUUUUCCCAAGUGUUUUAAUUCCUCUUACUUUUUUAUGAAAGAAAUAGUAAUUGCUUAAUUCUAAAUAUAAGAGAAGUAUGGUAAAAACGCUAAGCAAUUAAAAUGGUUUAAAAAUACCCCUACUUUUAAUAUACAUCAUGUUGACCCCACACAUCAAUUCAU